UACGGGGGGGGCAAGCGUUGUUCGGAAUUACUGGGCGUAAAGCGUGCGUAGACGGUUAUCUAAGUCGGAUGUGAAAGCCCCGGGCUCAACCUGGGAAUUGCAUUCGAGACUGAAUAGCUAGGGUGCGGUAGAGGGAAGCGGAAUUUCCGGUGUAGCGGUGAAAUGCGUAGAUAUCGGAAGGAACAUCAGUGGCGAAAGCGGCUUCCUGGACCAGCACCGACGUUCAGGCACGAAAGCGUGGGGAGCAAACAGG
This 253-nucleotide ribosomal RNA is filed under the name uncultured bacterium. RNAcentral's name for it is "partial 16S ribosomal RNA". It matches the Rfam family "Bacterial small subunit ribosomal RNA", at positions 524 to 776 of the family's 1533-position model. The record is from RNAcentral.